Non-coding RNA from Paramuricea clavata, 250 nucleotides. The record is from the annotation of a GenBank genome assembly. NCBI's taxonomy places the organism in Eukaryota, Metazoa, Cnidaria, Anthozoa, Malacalcyonacea, Plexauridae.
CUUUUAGUGAAACCAGACUUAACGGCUGUGUAACAUAACAUAUUAGAUGUUGCUGUGUUUAAUACAGUCAUAAUAUUUACAUUCCGAGUACAUGAAUCUGUCGUGAAGUUCGCCUGAUCUUUUCUCACACACUGAACGAGAAGAAUUACAACACUACACUUAGCAUGCUGUGAAAAGAAAAUUUGGCAAGCCCAGCUGAGAAUUGAAACCACAUGCGGAUUGGUAUAGCGAUUUAAGGAUUCAUAUUCAG